This 442-nucleotide ribosomal RNA is filed under the name uncultured bacterium. Its description in RNAcentral is "partial 16S ribosomal RNA". It matches the Rfam family "Bacterial small subunit ribosomal RNA", at positions 338 to 795 of the family's 1533-position model. The record is from RNAcentral.
CCUACGGGGGGCAGCAGUAGGGAAUCUUUCACAAUGGGCGAAAGCCUGAUGGAGCAACGCCGCGUGCAGGAUGAAGGCCUUCGGGUUGUAAACUGCUUUUAUAAGCGAGAAAUAUGACGGUAACUUAUGAAUAAGGAUCGGCUAACUACGUGCCAGCAGCCGCGGUCAUACGUAGGAUCCGAGCAUUAUCCGGAGUGACUGGGUGUAAAGAGUUGCGUAGGUGGCAUAAUAAGUAGCUAGGGAAAUCUGGUGGCUCAACCAUUCAGACUAUUAGCUAAACUGUUAAGCUCGAGACCGUUAGAGGUAAGUGGAAUUUCUAGUGUAGGAGUGAAAUCCGUAGAUAUUAGGAGGAACACCAAUAGCGUAGGCAGGUUGCUGGGACGGUUCUGACACUAAGGCACGAAAGCGUAGGGAGCAAACGGGAUUAGAUACCCUUGUAGUC